AUACGAAGGGUGCAAGCGUUAAUCGGAAUUACUGGGCGUAAAGCGCGCGUAGGUGGUUUGUUAAGUUGGAUGUGAAAGCCCCGGGCUCAACCUGGGAACUGCAUCCAAAACUGGCGAGCUAGAGUAUAGCAGAGGGUGGUGGAAUUUCCUGUGUAGCGGUGAAAUGCGUAGAUAUAGGAAGGAACACCAGUGGGGAAGGCGACCCCUGGGGAUAAUCCUGACACUGAGGGGGGAAAGCGUGGGGAGCAAACAGGAUUAGAUACCCUGGUAGUCCACGCCGUAAACGAUGUCGACUAGCCGUUGGGAUCCUUGAGAUCUUAGUGGCGCAGCUAACGCAUUAAGUCGACCGCCUGGGGAGUACGGCCGCAAGGUUAAAACUCAAAUGAAUUGACGGGG
This 396-nucleotide ribosomal RNA is filed under the name uncultured bacterium. RNAcentral describes it as "partial 16S ribosomal RNA". It matches the Rfam family "Bacterial small subunit ribosomal RNA", at positions 523 to 918 of the family's 1533-position model. The record is from RNAcentral.